Molecule: non-coding RNA, 107 nt
Organism: Beta vulgaris subsp. vulgaris (sugar beet)
Lineage: Eukaryota; Viridiplantae; Streptophyta; Magnoliopsida; Caryophyllales; Amaranthaceae
Source: Rfam
AGAUUGUGGUGUGGGAAUUCUUUCUGUAGGUCCUUGAACCUAUUCCAUGCUUCCUUCACUGUCUCAUCAAGUUCUUGUUGGAAGGUAGCAAGUUUAUGUCUGAAUUC